Molecule: long non-coding RNA, 171 nt
Organism: Magnolia sinica
Lineage: Eukaryota; Viridiplantae; Streptophyta; Magnoliopsida; Magnoliales; Magnoliaceae
Exons: 3
Source: RefSeq, a predicted model, not a curated record
GCUCAUGCCGCAACUCGCCAAUCUGGCCGCCGAUAAAACUUGGUGGGCACCACAAGCUAGGGUGUUUAACGCGCUGCAUUAAGACAGAUUGUGAGGCUUGAAACUCAGGCAUUUAGAAGCUGUACACGCGUUGUAUUUCUCACUCAAGACAAACCGUCCAAAUCAUGGGAG